Molecule: long non-coding RNA, 463 nt
Organism: Macadamia integrifolia
Lineage: Eukaryota; Viridiplantae; Streptophyta; Magnoliopsida; Proteales; Proteaceae
Exons: 3
Source: RefSeq, a predicted model, not a curated record
GAGAAGGGAAAAGGAGAAGAAGAAGAAGAAGGAGAAGAGCAAAGGAAGAGGAAGAAGAGAGGUGCAAGGGGGGCACCUACCCAUCUAAGGAGUAGAACCAAGAGGUGACAAGACAAUGCAGCGCAAGGCCAUCGGCUGUCCAUCAUCACCUAAGACUCAAGAUGUUGAUUCAGGUAACCACCUGGAAUAUGUAGCUGAGGAGCCGGCUCUCUACGGAGGUGACAUCUGGGAUGAGGAGUUAGCUGCCCAUCAGGACGGUUGCGUAUGUGACCAUUGUGUAUUCAGAGCGUGCUGAAGAUGAGAGUAUCAUCUUCCUUUUGACCCUUUUGUUUUACACAUCAGAAGUAGCCCUAGCGGCAUAACCGUAAUUAUGACUUCCGUUGUAAAAACUCUUUUAGUAAAUAUGAUCAAUAUCAUUAGGCUUCACCAGUUAUGUAUACUUGACUAUUAUUAUUAUCUUGUA